AACGAACGCUGGCGGCAGGCCUAACACAUGCAAGUCGAACGCUCCCUUCGGGGAGAGUGGCAGACGGGUGAGUAACACGUGGGAAUCUUCCUGUUGGUUCGGAAUAGCUCAGGGAAACUUGGGGUAAUACCGGAUAAGCCCGAAAGGGGAAAGAUUUAUCGCCGACAGAUGAGCCCGCGUCUGAUUAGCUUGUUGGUGAGGUAACGGCUCACCAAGGCGACGAUCAGUAGCUGGUCUGAGAGGAUGAUCAGCCACACUGGGACUGAGACACGGCCCAGACUCCUACGGGAGGCAGCAGUGGGGAAUAUUGGACAAUGGGCGCAAGCCUGAUCCAGCCAUGCCGCGUGAGUGACGAAGGUCUUCGGAUUGUAAAGCUCUUUUGGCGGGGACGAUAAUGACGGUACCCGCAGAAUAAGCCCCGGCUAACUUCGUGCCAGCCGCCGCGGUAAU
RNAcentral lists this ribosomal RNA (450 nucleotides) under uncultured bacterium. RNAcentral describes it as "bacterial SSU rRNA". It matches the Rfam family "Bacterial small subunit ribosomal RNA", at positions 29 to 524 of the family's 1533-position model. The record is from RNAcentral.